ACAAAAUAUGUGUUACAUGAGGACAAAUUACAAAUCAAAUACAAUAAAUGACAGAAUAGACAGGUAACUAUUAACAAAAGUGUAAUUUCUAAAGAUAAUAAAACUUGUAAGAUACAUGCAUCUUUCUAAAUGAAGGUAGAUAGUUUCUUAAUAAAUAUAGCUAGAUUAUACAAUAACUGACAGUGACACAAUGACAGCAUAUUUUGCAUUUUCAGUACAGAUGGGUAUGUUGUAUAAUAUUUCGGUAUAUAUUUCUUCCGAAGUUCAGUAAUAGAACUAUUAUUACAUACAUAUAAAUAAUGAUAUUCAUCACCAAUACAUGAUUCAUUACAUAAGGUACAUAUGCGAUCUGUUCUAGCGAUGUUGUACCAUCUGCCAGUUUCCAUAGGAAUUUUUAGGUUACAUGUUCUCAGUUUUGAAAUCCAGAUUCUUUUAUCCUCUGGAAGACGUAAUAGAUAAUUUUCCAGACCAAACUGAGAUUUAAAUAACUUAUAAUAUUCGCCACGAGACGAGUUAUCAAUAUUACUG
This 528-nucleotide long non-coding RNA is filed under the name Mytilus galloprovincialis (Mediterranean mussel). Lineage: Eukaryota; Metazoa; Mollusca; Bivalvia; Mytilida; Mytilidae. The record is from RNAcentral.